Molecule: transfer RNA, 64 nt
Filed under: Bostrichoidea sp. 5 KM-2017
Lineage: Eukaryota; Metazoa; Arthropoda; Insecta; Coleoptera
Description: tRNA-Thr
Rfam family: tRNA
About the family: Transfer RNA (tRNA) molecules are approximately 80 nucleotides in length.
Source: RNAcentral
GUUUUAAUAGUUUAAUCAUAAAACAUUGGUCUUGUAAACCAAAAAUAUUGAAAUUUUUAAAACA